Molecule: ribosomal RNA, 904 nt
Filed under: Bacillus spizizenii
Lineage: Bacteria; Bacillati; Bacillota; Bacilli; Caryophanales; Bacillaceae
Description: bacterial SSU rRNA
Rfam family: Bacterial small subunit ribosomal RNA
Source: RNAcentral
GCAAGUCGAGCGGACAGAUGGGAGCUUGCUCCCUGAUGUUAGCGGCGGACGGGUGAGUAACACGUGGGUAACCUGCCUGUAAGACUGGGAUAACUCCGGGAAACCGGGGCUAAUACCGGAUGCUUGUUUGAACCGCAUGGUUCAAACAUAAAAGGUGGCUUCGGCUACCACUUACAGAUGGACCCGCGGCGCAUUAGCUAGUUGGUGAGGUAAUGGCUCACCAAGGCAACGAUGCGUAGCCGACCUGAGAGGGUGAUCGGCCACACUGGGACUGAGACACGGCCCAGACUCCUACGGGAGGCAGCAGUAGGGAAUCUUCCGCAAUGGACGAAAGUCUGACGGAGCAACGCCGCGUGAGUGAUGAAGGUUUUCGGAUCGUAAAGCUCUGUUGUUAGGGAAGAACAAGUACCGUUCGAAUAGGGCGGUACCUUGACGGUACCUAACCAGAAAGCCACGGCUAACUACGUGCCAGCAGCCGCGGUAAUACGUAGGUGGCAAGCGUUGUCCGGAAUUAUUGGGCGUAAAGGGCUCGCAGGCGGUUUCUUAAGUCUGAUGUGAAAGCCCCCGGCUCAACCGGGGAGGGUCAUUGGAAACUGGGGAACUUGAGUGCAGAAGAGGAGAGUGGAAUUCCACGUGUAGCGGUGAAAUGCGUAGAGAUGUGGAGGAACACCAGUGGCGAAGGCGACUCUCUGGUCUGUAACUGACGCUGAGGAGCGAAAGCGUGGGGAGCGAACAGGAUUAGAUACCCUGGUAGUCCACGCCGUAAACGAUGAGUGCUAAGUGUUAGGGGGUUUCCGCCCCUUAGUGCUGCAGCUAACGCAUUAAGCACUCCGCCUGGGGAGUACGGUCGCAAGACUGAAACUCAAAGGAAUUGACGGGGGCCCGCACAAGCGGUGGAGCAUGU